RNAcentral lists this transfer RNA (64 nucleotides) under Cicindela (Rivacindela) sp. JP-47. RNAcentral's name for it is "transfer RNA-Leu". The record is from RNAcentral. Lineage: Eukaryota; Metazoa; Arthropoda; Insecta; Coleoptera; Carabidae.
AUUACUUUGGCAGAAUAGUGCGAUGAAUUUAGAAUUCAUGAAUGUAAUUGUAUUACAAGUAAUA